This 429-nucleotide ribosomal RNA is filed under the name Bacteroidota bacterium. Its description in RNAcentral is "Bacteroidetes bacterium partial 16S ribosomal RNA". It matches the Rfam family "Bacterial small subunit ribosomal RNA", at positions 355 to 776 of the family's 1533-position model. RNAcentral also lists the same sequence under 1 other name. Lineage: Bacteria; Pseudomonadati; Bacteroidota. The record is from RNAcentral.
UAGGGAAUCUUCGGCAAUGGGCGAAAGCCUGACCGAGCAACGCCGCGUGAAUGAUGAAGGCCUUCGGGUUGUAAAAUUCUGUUAUAAGGGAAGAAUGGCUCUAGUAGGAAAUGGCUAGAGUGUGACGGUACCUUAUGAGAAAGCCACGGCUAACUACGUGCCAGCAGCCGCGGUAAUACGUAGGUGGCGAGCGUUAUCCGGAAUUAUUGGGCGUAAAGAGCGCGCAGGUGGUUGAUUAAGUCUGAUGUGAAAGCCCACGGCUUAACCGUGGAGGGUCAUUGGAAACUGGUCAACUUGAGUGCAGAAGAGGGAAGUGGAAUUCCAUGUGUAGCGGUGAAAUGCGUAGAGAUAUGGAGGAACACCAGUGGCGAAGGCGGCUUCCUGGUCUGUAACUGACACUGAGGCGCGAAAGCGUGGGGAGCAAACAGG